GCCAGCAGCCAUAUCACCCUGCAGCUCACAGCUGGCAGCCCACUGGAGCUCAGCAGGUGUGAGCCUGGUCAGUACCUGGAUGGGAGACCUCCUGGGAAAAACUAAGGCUCCUGCUGGAA
Molecule: ribosomal RNA, 119 nt
Filed under: Lepisosteus oculatus (spotted gar)
Lineage: Eukaryota; Metazoa; Chordata; Actinopteri; Semionotiformes; Lepisosteidae
Source: RNAcentral